ACGCACGCUGGCGGCGUGCUUCACACAUGCACGUCGAACGGAAAGGCCCCUUUGGGGGUACUCGAGUGGCGAACGGGUGAGUAACACGUGAGUAACCUGCCCUUGACUUCGGGAUAACUUCAGGAAACUGGGGCUAAUACCGGAUAGGAAUCCUUGCUGCAUGGUGGGGGUUGGAAAGCUUCGGCGGUUUUGGAUGGACUCGCGGCUUAUCAGCUUGUUGGUGGGGUAGUGGCUUACCAAGGCUUUGACGGGUAGCCGGCCUGAGAGGGCGACCGGCCACAUUGGGACUGAGAUACGGCCCAGACUCCUACGGGAGGCAGCAGUGGGGAAUAUUGCACAAUGGGCGGAAGCCUGAUGCAGCAACGCCGCGUGCGGGAUGACGGCCUUCGGGUUGUAAACCGCUUUCAGCAGGGGCGAAGCUUGUGGUGACGGUACCUGCAGAAGAAGCACCGGCUAACUACGUG
RNAcentral lists this ribosomal RNA (464 nucleotides) under uncultured bacterium. RNAcentral describes it as "partial 16S ribosomal RNA". It matches the Rfam family "Bacterial small subunit ribosomal RNA", at positions 29 to 507 of the family's 1533-position model. The record is from RNAcentral.